Herpailurus yagouaroundi (jaguarundi) is the source of this 940-nucleotide long non-coding RNA. RefSeq lists it as uncharacterized. The transcript has 3 exons. NCBI's taxonomy places the organism in Eukaryota, Metazoa, Chordata, Mammalia, Carnivora, Felidae. The record is from RefSeq and is a predicted model, not a curated record.
GCUCAUCACGGAGGCCCCGCAAGACCUGGCCUACACUGCCUAACACCACGGACCCCAGCCUCCAACCCGAUGUGGUACCCACAGAGGCCCCUUGUGCCUGCCGGCCUGUGGCGUGUGCAGUCCUUGACGAUGUCAGUGAGUGCUUGCGGAAGGCAAAAUCACCCACUAUCCCGCCAGGCCCUUCAACACUCCAGGUGAAUUCACCGUAAAUAGAGACGGCCAUCCUCAUCAAUGCCUGGCAGAUGCCCCGCUUUCUACAAGCAGCCCCGGCACCUUACCCAACCUCUGUCUCAGGGAAAACGAGCAUGAUUUCCGGCUGCCCUUCUGCUUCCUUGGAAGCGAGGGACACUUAAACAUCCUAUUUCCCCACAGCAACAUGGCGGAGGCUUCAAGGGGACAACCCGACCUCAGAAGUCAAAAGGCAACCCCAAAAAGAUACCCAAGGAACGAACGGCGGAGGGCAGUCCUGUCCACCACCUGCUUGUUAAACCCGUGAAGGAAAAGUCAACGCUGCCUUUUGUAACUGCUGAUAGAAGAAACCCAAGUCAGAAGUAUCCUUGCGACAUGCCCACACCAGCCAGCCUCACUGAUGAAAGCAACCAACCCAAACAGGACCCGUAAACCACACAGGAGAUCCAUCCCUUACACGAAUUCGUCUCAGUGAUCGAUCUGAUCAUGUGAUUUUUUGAGACAGCUCUUCAGGGAGAUUUUAACUUCGGUUCGAACUGACCAAUAUAUUCCACGACUUGUAUCUACCAGGAACUUGGGGGCCAGAUUCUGAGCUACCAAGAGGAUUCUUAUCACUGGGAGCAAAAUAACUGAAAAUGUAAUCAAUGGUACCAAAAAGGGGUCUCCUUCUCUAAAAUACACACCUAUCCUGACCACCUGCAGCACGUAUCACCAAUAAAUUGCCCAAUAAAUUGGCAUUCUGGAUGAUAAA